Molecule: small RNA, 30 nt
Filed under: Bombyx mori (domestic silkworm)
Lineage: Eukaryota; Metazoa; Arthropoda; Insecta; Lepidoptera; Bombycidae
Description: ovarian small RNA-32398
Source: RNAcentral
UGAUACGGUGACACGCUCGCUUCUGAGCUA